Molecule: non-coding RNA, 122 nt
Filed under: unclassified sequences
Description: drum RNA
Rfam family: drum RNA
About the family: Firmicutes, Bacteroidetes (1 example), Proteobacteria (2 examples), Spirochaetes (2 examples). Terminator (Clostridia)
Source: Rfam by way of RNAcentral
AGGCGUUUUAAAGCAAAGUGUAGAAUCUGGAAGGGCUGUGCUUUGCAAAGUCUUACGACGGUUCUCCGUUUACCAAAAGCCAGAUGUAGGCUGAAUUUUUCAGCUGAAGGAAAAUGGAAUGU